Molecule: ribosomal RNA, 464 nt
Filed under: uncultured Klebsiella sp.
Lineage: Bacteria; Pseudomonadati; Pseudomonadota; Gammaproteobacteria; Enterobacterales; Enterobacteriaceae
Description: bacterial SSU rRNA
Rfam family: Bacterial small subunit ribosomal RNA
Source: RNAcentral
CCUACGGGAGGCUGCAGUGGGGAAUAUUGCACAAUGGGCGCAAGCCUGAUGCAGCCAUGCCGCGUGUGUGAAGAAGGCCUUCGGGUUGUAAAGCACUUUCAGCGGGAGGAAGGCGUUAAGGUUAAUAACCUUGGCGAUUGACGUUACCCGCAGAAGAAGCACCGGCUAACUCCGUGCCAGCAGCCGCGGUAAUACGGAGGGUGCAAGCGUCAAUCGGAAUUACUGGGCGUAAAGCGCACGCAGGCGGUCUGUCAAGUCGGAUGUGAAAUCCCCGGGCUCAACCUGGGAACUGCAUUCGAAACUGGCAGGCUAGAGUCUUGUAGAGGGGGGUAGAAUUCCAAGUGUAGCGGUGAAAUGCGUAGAGAUCUGGAGGAAUACCGGUGGCGAAGGCGGCCCCCUGGACAAAGACUGACGCUCAGGUGCGAAAGCGUGGGGAGCAAACAGGAUUAGAUACCCCAGUAGUC